Molecule: long non-coding RNA, 506 nt
Organism: Microplitis mediator
Lineage: Eukaryota; Metazoa; Arthropoda; Insecta; Hymenoptera; Braconidae
Exons: 3
Source: RefSeq, a predicted model, not a curated record
AGUAAAGAGACACGAUGACGUGAACAACCACAGCCCCUUCUUGUCGUUGUUUCUCAUCAAACAGGUCAUGUGGAAAGUCCUCAAUUGCCGGUGGUGUACAAUUAACCCCUAGAGUAUUUGGAUAAAUAUAUAAAUUACGUUAAGGGAAGAGAGAGGACACUAUUAAAUUCUUAAUAGGUUGACGCAUGGCCUGGAGGCGCAAAGCGUGCUAAUAAUCUUCCACCGAGUUCGCGGUGACCCAGAAAAUCCUUAAGCUCAAGAGAGUAAAGACAUUUAUAGACAGACAACUUGAAUUGUUAAUGUGAAGGUGGUGAGUGCAAAGUUUCUAUACCUAUGUGGCGACUGAUGUGACUUCCUACCGAUUAAGCAACCUAAAGAAGUUAAAUUGCUCUCAUUCAACUGAGCAGAGUAGAUGCCAUUCAUGUCUAAUGUACGUCGUAUAAACUGGGUAUAACACGACUCAACAACUUGGUUAGACCGACCACGACGUCUUGCUUGAUCCAAAG